RNAcentral lists this non-coding RNA (134 nucleotides) under Pycnococcus provasolii. Lineage: Eukaryota; Viridiplantae; Chlorophyta; Pseudoscourfieldiophyceae; Pseudoscourfieldiales; Pycnococcaceae. The record is from RNAcentral.
UUUUUUUUUUUUUUUUUUUUUUUUUUAUGAAAAAAAGCUACUUCAUGUAACAGUUGUUAUUAUGAUACAUUCCUAUUCCUAUUCCUAUUCAUCACGGAAGUGCACACUUAGAGAGUGGUGUCCUGAGAAAAAAG